GCCCAGACUCCUACGGGAGGCAGCAGUGGGGAAUAUUGCACAAUGGGGGGAACCCUGAUGCAGCGACGCCGCGUGGGUGAAGGAGUACUUCGGUACGUAAAGCCCUAUCAGCAGGAAAGAAAAUGACGGUACCUGACUAAGAAGCCCCGGCUAACUCCGUGCCAGCAGCCGCGGUAAUACGGAGGGUGCGAGCGUUAAUCGGAAUUACUGGGCGUAAAGCGCUCGUAGGCGGUAUGUCAAGUCAAGGGUGAAAUCCCCGCGCUCAACGUGGGAACUGCCUUUGAAACUGGCAAACUGGAGUGUGUGAGAGGAUAGUGGAAUUCCAGGUGUAGGAGUGAAAUCCGUAGAUAUCUGGAGGAACAUCAGUGGCGAAGGCGACUAUCUGGCACAUAACUGACGCUGAGGAGCGAAAGCGUGGGUAGCAAACAGGAUUAGAUACCCCGGUAA
Molecule: ribosomal RNA, 447 nt
Filed under: uncultured bacterium
Lineage: Bacteria
Description: bacterial SSU rRNA
Rfam family: Bacterial small subunit ribosomal RNA
Source: RNAcentral